This 1425-nucleotide ribosomal RNA is filed under the name Salegentibacter sp. RNAcentral's name for it is "bacterial SSU rRNA". It matches the Rfam family "Bacterial small subunit ribosomal RNA". Lineage: Bacteria; Pseudomonadati; Bacteroidota; Flavobacteriia; Flavobacteriales; Flavobacteriaceae. The record is from RNAcentral.
CAGAGGGCAGCUACCAUGCAGUCGAGGGGUAACAUAGAAAAGCUUGCUUUUCUGAUGACGACCGGCGCACGGGUGCGUAACGCGUAUACAACCUACCUUUUAGCGGGGAAUAGCCCAGGGAAACUUGGAUUAAUGCCCCAUAGUAUAUAGACUUCUCCUGAAGUUUAUAUUAAACAUUUAUGGCUAUUAGAUGGGUAUGCGUCCUAUUAGUUAGUUGGUAAGGUAACGGCUUACCAAGGCAGCGAUAGGUAGGGGUCCUGAGAGGGAGAUCCCCCACACUGGUACUGAGACACGGACCAGACUCCUACGGGAGGCAGCAGUGAGGAAUAUUGGACAAUGGGCGAGAGCCUGAUCCAGCCAUGCCGCGUGCAGGAAGACUGCCCUAUGGGUUGUAAACUGCUUUUACAGAGGAAGAACCACCCCCCACGUGUGGGGGUUUGACGGUACUCUGCGAAUAAGGAUCGGCUAACUCCGUGCCAGCAGCCGCGGUAAUACGGAGGAUCCAAGCGUUAUCCGGAAUCAUUGGGUUUAAAGGGUCCGUAGGCGGGCAGUUAAGUCAGUGGUGAAAGUCUUCCGCUCAACGGGAGAACUGCCAUUGAUACUGAUUGUCUUGAGUUAUUAUGAAGUGGUUAGAAUGAGUAGUGUAGCGGUGAAAUGCAUAGAUAUUACUCAGAAUACCGAUUGCGAAGGCAGAUCACUAAUAAUAUACUGACGCUGAUGGACGAAAGCGUAGGUAGCGAACAGGAUUAGAUACCCUGGUAGUCUACGCCGUAAACGAUGGUUACUAGCUGUUCGGCCCAAUUGAGGGCUGAGUGGUUAAGCGAAAGUGAUAAGUAACCCACCUGGGGAGUACGUUCGCAAGAAUGAAACUCAAAGGAAUUGACGGGGGCCCGCACAAGCGGUGGAGCAUGUGGUUUAAUUCGAUGAUACGCGAGGAACCUUACCAGGGCUUAAAUGUAGUCUGACAGGUCUGGAAACAGACUUUUCUUCGGACAGAUUACAAGGUGCUGCAUGGUUGUCGUCAGCUCGUGCCGUGAGGUGUCAGGUUAAGUCCUAUAACGAGCGCAACCCCUGUGGUUAGUUGCCAGCGAGUAAUGUCGGGAACUCUAGCCAGACUGCCGGUGCAAACCGCGAGGAAGGUGGGGAUGACGUCAAAUCAUCACGGCCCUUACGUCCUGGGCCACACACGUGCUACAAUGGUAGGGACAGAGAGCAGCCACUUCGCGAGAAGGAGCGAAUCUACAAACCCUAUCACAGUUCGGAUCGCAGUCUGCAACUCGACUGCGUGAAGCUGGAAUCGCUAGUAAUCGCAUAUCAGCCAUGAUGCGGUGAAUACGUUCCCGGGCCUUGUACACACCGCCCGUCAAGCCAUGGAAGCCGGGGGUACCUGAAGUCGGUCACCGCAAGGAGCCGCCUAGGUAACGU